CCUACGGGUGGCAGCAGUGGGGAAUAUUGCACAAUGGGGGAAACCCUGAUGCAGCGACGCCGCGUGAGUGAAGACGUAAUUCGUUAUGUAAAGCUCUAUCAGCAGGGAAGAAAACGACGGUACCUGAGUAUGACGCCCCGGCUAACUACGUGCCAGAAGCCGCGGUAAUACGUAGGGGGCAAGCGUGAUCCGGAUUUACUGGGUGUAAAGGGAGUGUAGACGGCAGUGCAAGUCUGGAGUGAAUGGCGGGGGCUCAACCCCCGGACUGCUCUGGAAACUGUACGGCUGGAGUGGAGGAGAGGUAAGUGGAAUGCCUAGUGUAGCGGUGAAAUGCGUAGAGAUUA
Molecule: ribosomal RNA, 344 nt
Filed under: uncultured bacterium
Lineage: Bacteria
Description: partial 16S ribosomal RNA
Rfam family: Bacterial small subunit ribosomal RNA
Source: RNAcentral